CAAUGAAAAGUCAUUUAAAAUAGAAAAAGAUGGAAAAAGCAAGGAAAGGAAAAGAAAGGUUGGGUAUAAUGCGCUACAGAGGAGGUCCAGAUAAAACCUGGGGAGAGAGGAGACCAGAGCAGUGGGAGGAAAUAUUUCUAAAAAUAUCCUGUAAAACUUGGGUUAAAAAGAGAAGUGGAUUCAUUUUAAUAUUUUUCAUUUAGACCCGUAGGGUCUAUGGUUUUUAAAAGAUGGAUCCACUUCCUCUCCGAUGCCCGACAUUGUUAUCCAUUACUGAGGCUGACAAACAGUUCAGCUGUGUUUUGGCAUAUUGAAAUCGACAAGAGAUAAAUAUACAUGUGCAUGUGUGUGAUUAUAUAUGCUGUAAUUAAGUGUUGUAGUAUCUAUUGUGUUACUAACUGUGAAUAGCAGUUAGCGAUAGCACAAUUGCCAUUAGCAUUGUUUUCGUAGCAUACUGUUAGCUUUGCAUGUGAAAUAAUUGAGACAAGCUACCGAUAAUUCGCCGUGAAAUAGUGGAUGGACCUGCUUGCUCGGUUAAUUUAUUUGAUUCAGGAGACGGACAUUUGUGAGUGUAAAAGAGAGAGGAUCGGGGAAACUCCUUUGGACCACACAGAGAGCGAUCUUCCGUCCUGCUGGUGUGAUGUAGACUGUCGCUGCUGUUUUCUGUUCUGCUGAUCUUCCUGCUGUGGUUUACCCGGUGCUCUGCCUGCUGCCAUCGCCAAGUUCGCCUUUUUCAUAUAUCCCCUUGACUGGGAUUCUGCUGAUCCAGUUCAACUUUUCCCGGGGAGGCUGCGGGGUCAUCCAUUGUUUUGAAAGGUGUCACUUGACUGUCAGCUCUCCAUCGCAGCCCUGCAUGGCAGUCAAUAAAAGAACCUCCUGAACCAUUCUUGCUUAACUCACCUCCACUGGACCUUGCACAUUUUUUUCCAUCUCAACAUCAAACAUAUUGAACGAUACUCUAAAAUGUAUAUAGAAAUUGCUUACUUACUUUUCCUGGCACAUUUAACAUUAACUUGUACGUAAUACAUCCUCAUACACUAGAGUAUCUCAUGAGUACAGAUGCCCAUCAAUACGCUGUUGCAGGAGAGGUAAAUGACACCAAGAUAUGGCAGUUGAAGAAAAACAAAUGUAGAGUAUGUGAUAACAGGACAUGCAAGUCAUCAAUUAUCAACAGUGUUAUUUUUGUGGUGGUUAAGUAUAGAUUGAUCACACAAGUAAGGUUAACUAGCAAGUUGUUCGUUAAGGGCUGACGGCUGGUUAACAUUACGGACAAAACCUAUUUGUUCCUCGUAUUCUCUUGUGUGUAUCACGUAUCCGUCUCCUCUAGCUGUUGUGGUUGAUAUGACGUAGGUCCCCUAGCUUUGACCAGACACAAAAAUGGUGACAGCAAAGCAAUGUGAUGUCACGUGGUCCUUAUAAAUAUAUACCAGAAACUAUGCACAAAGGACUACUUGCACCCUAGUGCUGCUGAAUUUUUGAUGUUAUUUAAUAAAUGUCAUGUUUUAUAUCUGUCA
Molecule: long non-coding RNA, 1514 nt
Organism: Perca flavescens (yellow perch)
Lineage: Eukaryota; Metazoa; Chordata; Actinopteri; Perciformes; Percidae
Exons: 2
Source: RefSeq, a predicted model, not a curated record